GUGAAAGGAUCACUCACCUCCUUGGUAGGAGUGGGUUGGCAGCCCGUGCAGCCGCUGUUUAUUGGCUGUAUGAGUGGGCAUCUGCCAUAACGGUAAUUAUAAUGGGGCGCUAAGCGGUGGCUUUUAUGGGGUGUACCAUCAAGCCCUCCUGGUUAUGAGAGGAGAGUGGCAUGCUGCCAUGCCUUCUCUGACCUAUUGGUUGCGCUUUUCGUAU
Molecule: non-coding RNA, 214 nt
Organism: Pelobates cultripes (western spadefoot toad)
Lineage: Eukaryota; Metazoa; Chordata; Amphibia; Anura; Pelobatidae
Source: the annotation of a GenBank genome assembly